AGUCGAACGAUGAUUAUCUAGCUUGCUAGAUAUGAUUAGUGGCGGACGGGUGAGUAACAUUUAGGAAUCUGCCUAGUAGUGGGGGAUAGCUCGGGGAAACUCGAAUUAAUACCGCAUACGACCUACGGGUGAAAGGGGGCGCAAGCUCUUGCUAUUAGAUGAGCCUAAAUCAGAUUAGCUAGUUGGUGGGGUAAAGGCCCACCAAGGCGACGAUCUGUAACUGGUCUGAGAGGAUGAUCAGUCACACCGGAACUGAGACACGGUCCGGACUCCUACGGGAGGCAGCAGUGGGGAAUAUUGGACAAUGGGGGCAACCCUGAUCCAGCCAUGCCGCGUGUGUGAAGAAGGCCUUUUGGUUGUAAAGCACUUUAAGCAGGGAGGAGAGGCUAAUGGUUAAUACCCAUUAGAUUAGACGUUACCUGCAGAAUAAGCACCGGCUAACUCUGUGCCAGCAGCCGCGGUAAUACAGAGGGUGCGAGCGUUAAUCGGAAUUACUGGGCGUAAAGCGAGUGUAGGUGGCUCAUUAAGUCACAUGUGAAAUCCCCGGGCUUAACCUGGGAACUGCAUGUGAUACUGGUGGUGCUAGAAUAUGUGAGAGGGAAGUAGAAUUCCAGGUGUAGCGGUGAAAUGCGUAGAGAUCUGGAGGAAUACCGAUGGCGAAGGCAGCUUCCUGGCAUAAUAUUGACACUGAGAUUCGAAAGCGUGGGUAGCAAACAGGAUUAGAUACCCUGGUAGUCCACGCCGUAAACGAUGUCUACUAGCCGUUGGGGUCCUUGAGACUUUAGUGGCGCAGUUAACGCGAUAAGUAGACCGCCUGGGGAGUACGGCCGCAAGGUUAAAACUCAAAUGAAUUGACGGGGGCCCGCACAAGCGGUGGAGCAUGUGGUUUAAUUCGAUGCAACGCGAAGAACCUUACCUGGUCUUGACAUAGUGAGAAUCUCUCAGAGAUGAGAGAGUGCCUUCGGGAACUCACAUACAGGUGCUGCAUGGCUGUCGUCAGCUCGUGUCGUGAGAUGUUGGGUUAAGUCCCGCAACGAGCGCAACCCUUUUCCUUAUUUGCCAGCGGGUUAAGCCGGGAACUUUAAGGAUACUGCCAGUGACAAACUGGAGGAAGGCGGGGACGACGUCAAGUCAUCAUGGCCCUUACGACCAGGGCUACACACGUGCUACAAUGGUAGGUACAGAGGGUUGCUACACAGCGAUGUGAUGCUAAUCUCAAAAAGCCUAUCGUAGUCCGGAUUGGAGUCUGCAACUCGACUCCAUGAAGUCGGAAUCGCUAGUAAUCGCGGAUCAGAAUGCCGCGGUGAAUACGUUCCCGGGCCUUGUACACACCGCCCGUCACACCAUGGGAGUCUAUUGCACC
RNAcentral lists this ribosomal RNA (1363 nucleotides) under Moraxella sp. RNAcentral describes it as "bacterial SSU rRNA". It matches the Rfam family "Bacterial small subunit ribosomal RNA", at positions 60 to 1421 of the family's 1533-position model. The record is from RNAcentral. Lineage: Bacteria; Pseudomonadati; Pseudomonadota; Gammaproteobacteria; Moraxellales; Moraxellaceae.